AGCAGUGUGGCCUAGUGGAAAGAGCAUGGGCUUGGAAGUCAGAGGACCUGGGUUCUAAUCCCGGCUCUUCCA
Ornithorhynchus anatinus (platypus) is the source of this 72-nucleotide non-coding RNA. NCBI's taxonomy places the organism in Eukaryota, Metazoa, Chordata, Mammalia, Monotremata, Ornithorhynchidae. The record is from Rfam.